This 242-nucleotide ribosomal RNA is filed under the name uncultured bacterium. RNAcentral's name for it is "partial 16S ribosomal RNA". It matches the Rfam family "Bacterial small subunit ribosomal RNA", at positions 529 to 770 of the family's 1533-position model. The record is from RNAcentral.
AUGGAGCAAGCGUUAUCCGGAUUUACUGGGUGUAAAGGGAGCGCAGGCGGCGCGGCAAGUCAGAUGUGAAAGCCCGGGGCUCAACCCAUGGCCUGCAUUUGAAACUGUUUUUCUUGAGUACUGGAGAGGCAGACGGAAUUCCUAGUGUAGCGGUGAAAUGCGUAGAUAUUAGGAGGAACACCAGUGGCGAAGGCGGUCUGCUGGACAGCAACUGACGCUGAGGCGCGAAAGCGUGGGGAGCA